UUUGAGAGGAAUGUUGUCUGGUACGUGGCAGUUAUAUUCUAAUCGUCUCACACUCCAUGAAUGAGUGUUGAUGAUGAUUAAUGAGUAUGAAGGCGUCGGACCAGGCUUCAUUCCUGUCAAA
This 121-nucleotide microRNA precursor is filed under the name Ipomoea nil (Japanese morning glory). Its description in RNAcentral is "mir-166 microRNA precursor family". It matches the Rfam family "mir-166 microRNA precursor family". From Rfam's summary of the family: This family represents the plant microRNA (miRNA) precursor mir-166. Lineage: Eukaryota; Viridiplantae; Streptophyta; Magnoliopsida; Solanales; Convolvulaceae. The record is from Rfam by way of RNAcentral.